Molecule: ribosomal RNA, 1058 nt
Filed under: uncultured Actinomyces sp.
Lineage: Bacteria; Bacillati; Actinomycetota; Actinomycetes; Actinomycetales; Actinomycetaceae
Description: bacterial SSU rRNA
Rfam family: Bacterial small subunit ribosomal RNA
Source: RNAcentral
UAGAGUUUGAUCCUGGCUCAGGACGAACGCUGGCGGCGUGCUUAACACAUGCAAGUCGAACGCUGAAGCUCAGCUUUUGUUGGGUGGAUGAGUGGCGAACGGGUGAGUAACACGUGAGUAACCUGCCCUCUUCUUUGGGAUAACGCCCGGAAACGGGUGCUAAUACUGGAUAUUCACUGAUCUUCGCAUGGGGGUUGGUGGAAAGGUUUGUUCUGGUGGGGGAUGGGCUCGCGGCCUAUCAGCUUGUUGGUGGGGUGAUGGCCUACCAAGGCUUUGACGGGUAGCCGGCCUGAGAGGGUGACCGGUCACAUUGGGACUGAGAUACGGCCCAGACUCCUACGGGAGGCAGCAGUGGGGAAUAUUGCACAAUGGGCGAAAGCCUGAUGCAGCGACGCCGCGUGAGGGAUGGAGGCCUUCGGGUUGUAAACCUCUUUCGCUCAUGGUCAAGCCGCGACGUGGGUUGUGGUGAGGGUAGUGGGUAAAGAAGCGCCGGCUAACUACGUGCCAGCAGCCGCGGUAAUACGUAGGGCGCGAGCGUUGUCCGGAAUUAUUGGGCGUAAAGGGCUUGUAGGCGGUUGGUCGCGUCUGCCGUGAAAUUCUCUGGCUUAACUGGGGGCGUGCGGUGGGUACGGGCUGACUUGAGUGCGGUAGGGGAGACUGGAACUCCUGGUGUAGCGGUGGAAUGCGCAGAUAUCAGGAAGAACACCGGUGGCGAAGGCGGGUCUCUGGGCCGUUACUGACGCUGAGGAGCGAAAGCGUGGGGAGCGAACAGGAUUAGAUACCCUGGUAGUCCACGCUGUAAACGUUGGGCAUUAGGUGUGGGGGCCACCCGUGGUUUCUGCGCCGUAGCUAACGCUUUAAGUGCCCCGCCUGGGGAGUACGGCCGCAAGGCUAAAACUCAAAGGAAUUGACGGGGGCCCGCACAAGCCGGCGGACCAUGCGGGAUUAAUUCGAUGCAACCCCGAAAAACCUUACCAAGGGUUUGACAUGCACGGGCGGCCCUGCAAAAAAUGUGGUGGGCAUUUUGGUUGGGCCUGGGGCCAGGGGGGGCAUUGGUU